GAUUCCUUGCUGCUGGGUGCCAGCCCCCGUUUGGCAAGAAAAGGGGGAGCUGUGACACCCACACCCUUCCCACCCUGCGAUGUCUUCCCCUCCUCCUACCUUCAGUGAGAACUCCUGACACAACACCUUCAUACUUAACACCAGCACUGCACCAGAGCCGGAGUGCAUCAUCCAGGCAGCAGUACAAUACUGUACAUGCAGGAGGGGCAGGAUACUCACUAUCCAGGAUCUAAUGCAAACUGCAAGCCCUGACACAGAACACAUGCAGCAUCUCCUCUCAUUCAUCUCCAGUAACAACUGUCCAAAAGGGGAGGAACUGUAAAGUUCUCCUAAACGUGUUGCUUGCUUCUGAAGGCUGAAGUUCACCUGAAGUGGGCUCUGACACUUCCAAUAUGCCUCUAAGCCACUGUGCCAGCAGCUAGCGUAUCCACCCUAUACAUUCUGCACAAAGACUUUUAGUGAAAAGUUCUUGCAUCAUCAUGAAAGGAUGAAGAAAAUGCCUCACUGACAGUUGCAGAACCAUAAAUCAUAAAUAAAGGGCAAGGCAUGAGUCAUUCCUUGCGUGUGAUGCCCUGACUUAGACACUCUGUGCCCCUGAGCAUCAGCUUUAGUAGAUGACAUUGAAGGAUUAGCAUCAUCAUCAUGACUGGUGGCAGCAGCUGAAGCGACAGUAUUUGGGUGCUCUUCGAGAAAUUCAGAGAGCACAGCCUUUCAUCAGAGGACACAGUGACCAGUUUGUCACAAAAAUAGCUUGGAAUUGGAAUACUACCAUUAUUUGGCCUGGAACAUAUGUGGAUUUUCAAUUUAAUUAAUGGUUGUUUUCAUUAAGUAUGGAAUAAGAAUAACAAUCAUCGACAUCGAUGGAAAUCGUAAUGAUUCAUAGGAUCUUGGAUUUUUUACCAAUGUUCUUCACAAGGAAUUUGAAAGUAUUCUGAACCAUUAUUUAACCUCCCAGACUGCUCUACUGCUGGCACAAUAUAAAGGUAAAUUCUGCAUUUUCCGUGCAUCCAGAACAGAAGAAACGGAACAUUUACAAGCAAUUAAUGGACAUAAAUGUAACAUUUUAAAGGGUGCAAACCACAGCAGAUGUUGGAUACAUUUUCACAUGACGGAUCAUGUUUCCAUUGGCAGAUAAAAUAUAGGACAAAAUCAAUAUAUGGUAAAACAGCAUUAAUGACAGCACAAAAUUACACUGGAUGAAGAGAGGAUCAAGGGCUUCAAUCAAUAUUAACUGCGGAUUAUAUCUGAUGAAGACCAAGACAUUGUUAGCACAUACUGUAACAUGGAUUGGUGUAAGAUGACUCUGCAGAGAUGUGCUCUUAAUUAAUGUACAGAGCCUUUAAGUCCCACCUCUCAACACUAAUGAUUGACAUUCAAGGAAACAUAAAUUACACUAAUUGAGAUUUACGUUCAUACAGCUGGUUUAUAUCUAACCCAUCA
Pseudophryne corroboree (corroboree frog) is the source of this 1440-nucleotide long non-coding RNA. RefSeq lists it as uncharacterized. The transcript has 9 exons. The record is from RefSeq and is a predicted model, not a curated record. Lineage: Eukaryota; Metazoa; Chordata; Amphibia; Anura; Myobatrachidae.